UGGGAACGACACUUCACUCAUCACUAUAUUACUUGUGCGAAUUGUGCGCUUGCAAUAAAUAUCACAAGUUUUUGGCGCCGUUGCCGGGGAGUGUUUUAAAUUUUAUUAAUAUCGAUAUAGAUUGAUUUGGAUUUUAAUUUGAAUUUUUUUUUGUUUUUUUAGGUACUUCACCUAGUGCAUGAGUUUCGGGAGACGUUCGCAGAGUCUUGUGCUUGUACCAUUAGAUCCAGAGAUCGAGCGAACGCUUCACAAGCUUAACAAACUCAAAAGGGGGAAGGACGCAAUAUUGGAAAAGCCAUCACCUAUGGCUGAGGAAGCAAAACCAGUAAGGGACUAUGAUGUCCCAUCUGUGGUGGCAUCACCAUCGAGCAUUCGUCGUCCAACCAUUGAUGCCAAUAAUUUUGAAAUCAG
This 411-nucleotide long non-coding RNA is filed under the name Prunus persica (peach). RNAcentral's name for it is "long non-coding RNA (PPER_LNC007966)". The record is from RNAcentral. Lineage: Eukaryota; Viridiplantae; Streptophyta; Magnoliopsida; Rosales; Rosaceae.